Long non-coding RNA from Ailuropoda melanoleuca (giant panda), 249 nucleotides. RefSeq lists it as uncharacterized. The transcript has 2 exons. NCBI's taxonomy places the organism in Eukaryota, Metazoa, Chordata, Mammalia, Carnivora, Ursidae. The record is from RefSeq and is a predicted model, not a curated record.
CUCCCAGCAUGACCUGGGGGAAUGGGCACGAGCUUUGGCGAGGGCCAGAGCCCAUCUCAGAAUCGGGUCCCAAAGGGAUGAGUCCAGACAAGCAGGGAGAGGGCAGUGGGCUGAGGAGAAGGUGGGGUGUGCCAUCAUUCGAGGGCAAGCUAGGCUUAGAGCCCACCUUCUUUAGACUCCCAUAUAAGCAGGAGCCUAAGGUGAGCCCACAGCUGGGCCCUCCAGCCCCAUCCUGGCAGCAGGCUAUGG